UGAUGACGUGUAUGGUCUUUGACAGAUGG
Molecule: non-coding RNA, 29 nt
Filed under: Mus musculus (house mouse)
Lineage: Eukaryota; Metazoa; Chordata; Mammalia; Rodentia; Muridae
Source: RNAcentral